GAUGAACGCUAGCGGCAGGCUUAACACAUGCAAGUCGAGGGGCAGCGCGGGUAGCAAUACCUGGCGGCGACCGGCAAACGGGUGCGGAACACGUACAGAACCUACCUUUACCUGGGGCAUAGCCCGGAGAAAUCCGGAUUAACUCCCCAUAACAUAUAUGAGUGGCAUCACUUGAAUAUUAAAAAUUUAUUGGGUAAAGAUGGCUGUGCGUCCCAUUAGCUAGUUGGUAGGGUAACGGCCUACCAAGGCAACGAUGGGUAGCUGGUGUGA
RNAcentral lists this ribosomal RNA (270 nucleotides) under uncultured bacterium. RNAcentral describes it as "partial 16S ribosomal RNA". It matches the Rfam family "Bacterial small subunit ribosomal RNA", at positions 28 to 295 of the family's 1533-position model. The record is from RNAcentral.